Molecule: ribosomal RNA, 636 nt
Filed under: uncultured fungus
Lineage: Eukaryota; Fungi
Description: eukaryotic LSU rRNA
Rfam family: 5.8S ribosomal RNA (bases 228-380)
Source: RNAcentral
AGUAAAAGUCGUAACAAGGUUUCCGUAGGUGAACCUGCGGAAGGAUCAUUACCGAGUGAGGGCCCUCUGGGUCCAACCUCCCACCCGUGUUUAUUUUACCUUGUUGCUUCGGCGGGCCCGCCUUUACUGGCCGCCGGGGGGCUCACGCCCCCGGGCCCGCGCCCGCCGAAGACACCCUCGAACUCUGUCUGAAGAUUGAAGUCUGAGUGAAAAUAUAAAUUAUUUAAAACUUUCAACAACGGAUCUCUUGGUUCCGGCAUCGAUGAAGAACGCAGCGAAAUGCGAUACGUAAUGUGAAUUGCGAAUUCAGUGAAUCAUCGAGUCUUUGAACGCACAUUGCGCCCCCUGGUAUUCCGGGGGGCAUGCCUGUCCGAGCGCCAUUGCUGCCCUCAAGCCCGGCUUGUGUGUUGGGCCCCGUCCUCCGAUUCCGGGGGACGGGCCCGAAAGGCAGCGGCGGCACCGCGUCCGGUCCUCGAGCGUAUGGGGCUUUGUCACCCGCUCUGUAGGCCCGGCCGGCGCUUGCCGAUCAACCCAAAUUUUUAUCCAGGUUGACCUCGGAUCAGGUAGGGAUACCCGCUGAACUUAAGCAUAUCAAUAAGCGGAGGAAAAGAAACCAACAGGAUUGCCCCAGUAACG